UACGUAGGGGGCGAGCGUUGUCCGGAAUCAUUGGGCGUAAAGAGCGUGUAGGCGGACUGGCAGGUCUGGUGUGAAAGCCCGGGGCUCAACCCCGGAGGGUCACUGGAAACCAACAGUCUUGAGUCCGGAAGAGGAGAGUGGAAUUCCUGGUGUAGCGGUGGAAUGCGCAGAUAUCAGGAGGAACACCAAUGGCGAAGGCAGCUCUCUGGUACGUGACUGACACUGAGACGCGAAAGCGUGGGGAGCGAACAGG
This 253-nucleotide ribosomal RNA is filed under the name uncultured bacterium. RNAcentral describes it as "partial 16S ribosomal RNA". It matches the Rfam family "Bacterial small subunit ribosomal RNA", at positions 524 to 776 of the family's 1533-position model. The record is from RNAcentral.